GCCAAACAUCUUCAUAACCUGGUAUAUUUAAGGACUGAUAAAUACGAACAUCGAUCUGAUAAUAAGGAACAUAAAAAUUGGAUUAAUACUAAUGCUUGAAGAAAAUAUAACAAGAAAAUCCAUACUUGGAAAAACUUAAUCAUUAAACCUUAUUAAUGCAAAUGACAAGACUUCGAAGUUUGGGACAAUGAUUGAGCACUUUCAAGACCAGAAGCCAAUCCAGGG
RNAcentral lists this long non-coding RNA (225 nucleotides) under Vigna radiata. RNAcentral describes it as "long non-coding RNA (VRAD_LNC004011)". The record is from RNAcentral. Lineage: Eukaryota; Viridiplantae; Streptophyta; Magnoliopsida; Fabales; Fabaceae.